CCAAGUUCGAUUCGGUUACUCUUGUGCAAACUGCUAGCGAAAAUGCAUUUAACGCGAUGUCUGAUGUGUGUCCUUCUACUGCUCGGUGUAGCUGGCAGCAGAGUUGAGCAAAGUCCAUCUGCAGUAUCUGCAUCCUCUCGCGCUGCCCUCGAAAUCCAUUGUUCUGCGGAAGGAUCCUUCAGCUCAGAAUUCUCCUGGUACCGCCAGCUACCAAAUGGGGGGCUCUUGUUGCUCUUCUACUCGCCCAACACUAAGAAAAUCGAUCCUAACGAGAAAGUGGAUGGUUUCACAGCUUCCAGAUCCGACGACUCUACUUUCUACCUGCAAACGACCAGUCUGCAAGGGAACCACACUGGCGUGUGUUAUUGUGCCUGGCGAUACCACAGUGACACAAGGAACAAAAUCAGUACCACAAAAAUCCAAUGCAGUGAAGAACUGAACCAGACGCUGCAUUGCUGAAUUGGCCUGUGGUUGGCGGCGGGCUAGGGAUAGAUUGUUGAGGGUGGGGUGUUCUUACCCCCGCCCCGGAGAUGAAAGCACUAAAGUUCAGAGCCAAUCACCUGUUAAGAGACGACCCCUUCUUUCCGAGCAGUAUAUUGGAGACAGCAAAUCGCACUCAGAGCCCCGAACUUCGACAUUGUCUGCACCUAGCUAUAGUCUCAGUAAUUUCACACAAACACGCGAAUGUGUCAGCAUCUGCAGAUGUCUCUGUCUCUUUCUCACCUCUGGGUUGUGCAGUUGAUGU
This is a non-coding RNA of Rhincodon typus (whale shark), 745 nucleotides long. The record is from the annotation of a RefSeq genome assembly. Lineage: Eukaryota; Metazoa; Chordata; Chondrichthyes; Orectolobiformes; Rhincodontidae.